UGUACGAGUGUUUUCCACUUAUCCUAUACACCCCAAGAAGAAAACACCAUCAACAACCAAACCCACAUCACAUGCCUCACUUUUUAAGCCCACAAACAGAAAACACAAAAGGCAAUAUAGCAGCAAAAGUUAUGUAGAUAAGGCAAUAUAGCAGCAAAAGUUAUGUAGAUAAGGCAAUGGUGGGCACUUGGUAUUGUGAAACAUGUUGAAGGGUUAGAUUUAGAAGAAGCGUGUAAGGUUAGAAUAUAAGAGAUUCCUUGAGACAGUUGUAUAUAACAAAUAAAGUUACGCAGACCAACAAAGCUAUAAAGACUGUCUAAUCAUUAGCCUCUGUUACAAGCAACCAAUUUGACAGACAGAUCAAACUAAGUACGCUUGUGGGCCUUAGCCAUAAAAAGGGCUUUCAAAUGAGGAAACAAGCAAACAAUUACAUGAAAGUAAAACAUCCUGUGAAAUUCAAAUUUGAAAAACUUUACCACCACUAGUUCUACAGGGAUUCAAUUAGGUAACAAAUAAAACAAUAAACCCAAUUGCACUUGAUUUAUCAUUGCCAAAUAGACUCCUUA
Molecule: long non-coding RNA, 566 nt
Filed under: Prunus persica (peach)
Lineage: Eukaryota; Viridiplantae; Streptophyta; Magnoliopsida; Rosales; Rosaceae
Description: long non-coding RNA (PPER_LNC005665)
Source: RNAcentral